GAUGAACGCUGGCGGCGUGCCUAAUACAUGCAAGUCGAGCGAACAGACGAGGAGCUUGCUCCUCUGACGUUAGCGGCGGACGGGUGAGUAACACGUGGAUAACCUACCUAUAAGACUGGGAUAACUUCGGGAAACCGGAGCUAAUACCGGAUAAUAUAUUGAACCGCAUGGUUCAAUAGUGAAAGACGGUUUUGCUGUCACUUAUAGAUGGAUCCGCGCCGCAUUAGCUAGUUGGUAAGGUAACGGCUUACCAAGGCAACGAUGCGUAGCCGACCUGAGAGGGUGAUCGGCCACACUGGAACUGAGACACGGUCCAGACUCCUACGGGAGGCAGCAGUAGGGAAUCUUCCGCAAAGGGCGAAAGCUUGACGGAGCAACGCCGCGUGAGUGAUGAAGGUCUUCGGAUCGUAAAACUCUGUUAUUAGGGAAGAACAAAUGUGUAAGUAACUAUGCACGUCUUGACGGUACCUAAUCAGUAAGCCACGGCUAACUACGUG
RNAcentral lists this ribosomal RNA (497 nucleotides) under uncultured bacterium. RNAcentral's name for it is "partial 16S ribosomal RNA". It matches the Rfam family "Bacterial small subunit ribosomal RNA", at positions 28 to 507 of the family's 1533-position model. The record is from RNAcentral.